GGUGCAUCAGCUGAUUUGUUGACAACGGGAGUUGCCACUGGUGUUGUUUUCUCGUUUGGUUCAAUCGCAGUAGACGGCGGCGGAAUCAAUUGCAGUCCAGGUGUUGCGUCAAUGCAAGAACCGUCAACGUCCACCACAUACGAUCGGUCGCUCAGCUUCUCGUUAAUCGUUCCUGGUGUCCAGAACUUGUUGCUUUCCGGAUGUGCUUGUACGUAAACAGGCGUUCCAGUUUGCAGUGCAGGAUUGUUUCCGGGACAUUUUGCACAAUUCGAGGAUCGUAUUUUUUCAUCGAGGCUGGAACUCCGCAUCUUGUGUUGCGUGAAAACAAUCUGCUCACCGGGCUGCUGCCUAUCUUGUUCGGGAUGUUCCUCCAGU
Molecule: long non-coding RNA, 375 nt
Organism: Malaya genurostris
Lineage: Eukaryota; Metazoa; Arthropoda; Insecta; Diptera; Culicidae
Exons: 3
Source: RefSeq, a predicted model, not a curated record